UGCAGAGGAGCCAAGCGUUGUCCGGAUUGACUGGGCGUAAAGCGCACGCAGGCGGACGCGCGCGUGGGGUGUGAAAUCUGGCCGCUUAACGGCCAGGCGCCAUCCCAUACGGCUCGACUGGAGUGAUGCAGAGGUCGAUGGAAUUGCCGGUGUAGUGGUGAAAUGCGUAGAGAUCGGCAGGAACACCCAGGGGGAAACCAGUCGACUGGGCAUCUACUGACGCUGAGGUGCGAGAGCGUGGGGAGCGAGCCGG
RNAcentral lists this ribosomal RNA (253 nucleotides) under uncultured bacterium. RNAcentral describes it as "partial 16S ribosomal RNA". It matches the Rfam family "Bacterial small subunit ribosomal RNA", at positions 524 to 776 of the family's 1533-position model. The record is from RNAcentral.